Corchorus capsularis is the source of this 119-nucleotide ribosomal RNA. NCBI's taxonomy places the organism in Eukaryota, Viridiplantae, Streptophyta, Magnoliopsida, Malvales, Malvaceae. The record is from Rfam.
GAAUGCGAUCAUAGCAGCACUAAUCCACCGGAUCCUAUCAGAACUCCGCAGUUAGCCGUGCUUGGGCGAGAGUAGUACUAGGAUGGGUGACUUCCUCUGAAGUCCUCGUGUUGCACCCC